This 254-nucleotide ribosomal RNA is filed under the name uncultured bacterium. Its description in RNAcentral is "partial 16S ribosomal RNA". It matches the Rfam family "Bacterial small subunit ribosomal RNA", at positions 524 to 776 of the family's 1533-position model. The record is from RNAcentral.
UACGAAGGGUGCAAGCGUUACUCGGAAUUACUGGGCGUAAAGCGUGCGUAGGUGGUUCGUUAAGUCUGAUGUGAAAGCCCUGGGCUCAACCUGGGAAUGGCAUUGGAAACUGGCGACCUAGAGUGCGGUAGAGGGUAGUGGAAUUCCCGGUGGUAGCAGUGAAAUGCGUAGAGAUCGGGAGGAACAUCCGUGGCGAAGGCGACUACCUGGACCAGCACUGACACUGAGGCACGAAAGCGUGGGGAGCAAACAGG